RNAcentral lists this transfer RNA (73 nucleotides) under Stegodyphus dumicola. RNAcentral's name for it is "tRNA-Lys". It matches the Rfam family "tRNA". From Rfam's summary of the family: Transfer RNA (tRNA) molecules are approximately 80 nucleotides in length. Their secondary structure includes four short double-helical elements and three loops (D, anti-codon, and T loops). The record is from RNAcentral. Lineage: Eukaryota; Metazoa; Arthropoda; Arachnida; Araneae; Eresidae.
GCCUUCGUGGUGUAGUGGUCUGCACGCUGGGCGCUUAUUCCAGAGGUCCGCGGUUCGAUUCCCGGCGAAGGCG